UAUAUUGGACAAUGGGGGCAACCCUGAUCCAGUCAUGCCGCGUGUGUGUAUAAGGUCUUCUGAUUGUAAAGCACUCAAAGUCGGGAGGAAGGGCUUCAGCCUAAUACCUUGUAGUUUUGACGUUAUUAAUAGAAUAAGCACCGGCUAACUCUGUGCCAGCAGCCGCGGUAAUACAGAGGGUGCAAGCGUUAAUCGGAAUUACUGGGCGUAAAGCGGGAGUAGGCAGUUCAGUAAAAUGGGUGUGAAAACCCCGGGCUUGACCUGGGGACUGCUUUCAUAACUGCUGAGAUAGAGUACGGUAGAGGGUAGUGAAAUUUCCUGUGUAGCGGUAAAAUGCGUAGAUGUAGGAAGAAACACCAGUGGCGAAGGCGACCACCUGGGCUAAUACUGACACUAGGGUGCGAAAACGUGGGGAGCAAAC
This 421-nucleotide ribosomal RNA is filed under the name uncultured bacterium. RNAcentral describes it as "partial 16S ribosomal RNA". It matches the Rfam family "Bacterial small subunit ribosomal RNA", at positions 359 to 773 of the family's 1533-position model. The record is from RNAcentral.